UAGAGACUCAGAGCUGCAUAUCAAUAAGCGGAGGAAAAGAAACUAACAAGGAUUCCCUUAGUAACGGCGAGUGAAGCGGGAAGAGCUCAAAUUUGAAAUCUUCAAGGCUCUACCUUGACGAAUUGUAGUUUAAAGAAGUGUUUUCUGUUAGUGGAGUGGCAAAAGUUCUUUGGAAUAGGACAUCAUAGAGGGUGAGAAUCCCGUAUUUGGUCAUUCCUUCUAGCUUUGUGAUACACUUUCAACGAGUCGGAUUGUUUGGGAAUGCAGUCCAAAAUGGGUGGUAAAUUUCAUCUAAAGCUAAAUAUUGGCGAGAGACCGAUAGCGAACAAGUACCGUGAGGGAGAGAUGAAAAGAACUUUGAAAAGAGAGUUAAACAGUACGUGAAAUUGUCAAAAGGGAAGCGUUUGACACCAGUGUUGUUUUUUCCGAAAAUCAAUUACGAAUGUUUUGUUUUUGAGAAGUUAUGACUUCAUCGGCUUGCUCUCUUCUUUACUGAAACUUUCUUAAUGCACUUUUCGGUUAACAAGUCAACAUCAAUUUCUUUUGUUGUAAAAGGGUAUGAGGAAGGUGGCUUUCUUUUCGGAGAAAGUGUUUAUAGCCUUGUGCCUCCUGCAAUCGGAGAGAUUGAGGUCUGCAGCGUAGAUCCUUCGGGGUUAGAUACAUUUUGUGCUAAGUUAUAGCUUUUCAUAGACAACUUGUUGAGCUAUGUUUAGUCUUGUAGCUUACUCGCUUACGCUAUUUUACCUACGCUUAGGAUGUUGACGAGACUGUCGAUCUC
This 778-nucleotide ribosomal RNA is filed under the name uncultured Neocallimastigales. RNAcentral describes it as "partial large subunit ribosomal RNA". It matches the Rfam family "Eukaryotic large subunit ribosomal RNA", at positions 23 to 647 of the family's 3401-position model. Lineage: Eukaryota; Fungi; Neocallimastigomycota; Neocallimastigomycetes; Neocallimastigales. The record is from RNAcentral.